ACCCUUCGGCGACCGGAGAAGCUACAACAGUGGAGGCGAGCUCCUUGUUGAGCCCCCUGCGAGCUGACUUUUUAAUAAAGAGCUGAACAUUAAUAAAGGGAUAGACCCUGUUCAUUUCAGUUAUUUAGUUACCGUCGAUGGAGAGAUGUCCUACAGGGCUCAUCACAAUAACCCAUGAAUUUUCCCACUUCUUGGCCAAAUGAACUUUCUGGGGUAACUUUGGUAUCUCCCACGAAGAUCCCUCAUCUGCCUCAUGACCACCAUGAUGGAUGGAGAUUGAAACUCCCUCCCAAGGACUGAGACCCCUUAUAAUGCUAACACAACGGCGCUGGCCUGACUGAAACAGGAUGUUUGCCUAGUGUUGCCUGCAGGUGAAUUUGCUGGACCAAGGAAAUAAUGGGUCCUGCUCAAUGUUGAAAUUGACUUGCCCUGCUUCGGAACAUGGACUGUCUGUACCCGUUUUUCAAUACUUGUUCCCCACCUCAGCGGAGGACUAUAAAAGACCCCUAAGCUAACCAAGCUUUUGAGACUCUCCCCGAUGGACACAGCGGAUCUAUUGGCUGAACCGUGAGGAUUUCAUCUCUCCAUUGGUAGCUACAUUGCCCUUCCCCUCUUUCUCUCCCUCUCUCAAUCCUCCAUCUCCUUUCUAAUCCUUCUAUUGCAUUUGCUCUGGCCACUCAAUUAAAAGUGCAUUUGUUGCGAUUACACUAAUAGUCCCCUGCUGUUUGUCUUUUGCACUUUUGGGAUUGGUAAACGAACCAUCGUGACCCUGCUUGUCCUAGUGGAUUGUGACACCCUCACCUCUGGGACCUAUCCCUGAUGGAACCCUCUCUCCUCCCCUUAUCCUGAUUUGUGGUAUCCCUAAAAACCACACCCUAAGAGUUACUCAUUGCUUGUCCCGUUGUGUCCACUCUCUGUUUUGCAAAGCUUUAAAAACCCAUGCACACCUGUGCUGGGGCUCUGCUUGCCUGUGUUCCCUUCAGCUCUCCUCUCCCGUGUACCCUUUCCUCACCUCACCCAAUAAACCUGCUGGACUUUACAUGGCAA
Long non-coding RNA from Taeniopygia guttata (zebra finch), 1047 nucleotides. RefSeq lists it as uncharacterized. NCBI's taxonomy places the organism in Eukaryota, Metazoa, Chordata, Aves, Passeriformes, Estrildidae. The record is from RefSeq and is a predicted model, not a curated record.